RNAcentral lists this non-coding RNA (29 nucleotides) under Rattus norvegicus (Norway rat). Lineage: Eukaryota; Metazoa; Chordata; Mammalia; Rodentia; Muridae. The record is from RNAcentral.
UAAAGGCUAAAGCCUGUGUUUGGGCAAUG